AUUAGAACUUCACAAUAACAGAAUAGCUAAACAUUAUCCACAUUGCAACUAAUAGUAUACCAUAAAAUCUAAAAUAAAAUUUCCUACAGUACAAAUAGCAUCUUAAGCCAAUAGAAGAACUUAAAUUGACAUAAUAACCAAGUUAAAAUUAUAAAGCCACAGCUAACAUCAUAUUUUACCACUCAUAUAAGUCUGAAAUUGAUUAUCAACACUCGUAAGAACUAUGAUAAGCUAUUUCAUACGAAUAUGAUAAUACCAGCUGUCAUAGUACUAAUAAACAGUCCUCAGUCAACUACACACUAGGAUAUGAUUUAGUGUGAAAAUAAUUACAAUUCAAUAGGGAAUUCAGCAGAAGAAACACAAGCAUCACCUCAUUCCAUUCCUAAAAUCUGAAAGAGAUAGGAUAUGUACUUGGAAAUAGCAUGUAAAAUAAGUGAGGAAUCAACAGCAGUAAUCAGAGGGUCAACAGCAACGCAAAAUUGAAUUCAUAGCCCAAAUAAAUACAAUCAAAAUCAGCCCAGAAAUGAAUUGUGGAAUCACAGCAUCAACAAUUAACUAAACGAACUUGAUUUAACAAAAACAAAGUUGCAAUUCAACUCAUGAACAAACUCAGAAACUUCAACGGCCGAACACAAGGAUUUUCAAGCUAUUUUCCUCUUAAGCUAUAAAUUCGAAACAGUUACUAAAACCGUGAAAUUGAUAUAAGGAACUCAAUGUAACAGUAUUUUUGGGGUUUCUGUAGCUUUUUGUGUAUUUUAGUAAGAACUAAGAUCUGAGGGAGGUUCAAAAUUUCAUAUCUGGUUUUUGGAUUUGAAUUUCAAAAUAUAGAUUAUUCACUUGUGGAGAUUUUUGGGGAGUUUUUCAAA
Molecule: long non-coding RNA, 866 nt
Filed under: Nicotiana benthamiana
Lineage: Eukaryota; Viridiplantae; Streptophyta; Magnoliopsida; Solanales; Solanaceae
Description: long non-coding RNA (NBEN_LNC033113)
Source: RNAcentral